CACACUGCUACAUCAUCCUCAAGGUAACACACACACACACUGCUACAUCAUCCUCAAGGUAACACACACACACACACACACUGCUACAUCAUCCUCAAGUUAACACACACACACUGCUACAUCAUCCUCAAGUUAACACACACACACACACACACACACACUGCUACAUCAUCCUCAAGGUAGCACACACACACUGCUACAUCAUCCUCAAGGUAGCACACACACACUGCUACAUCAUCCUCAAGGUAACACACACACACACACACACACACACUGCUACAUCAUCCUCAAGGUAACACACACACACACACACACACACACACACACACACACACACACACACUGUUACAUCAUCCUCAAGGUAACACACACACACACACACUGUUACAUCAUCCUCAAGGUAACACACACACACACACUGCUACAUCAUCCUCAAGGUAACACACACACACACUGCUACAUCAUCCUCAAGGUAACACACACACACCCACACUGCUACAUCAUCCUCAAGGUAACACACACACACUGCUACAUCAUCCUCAAGGUAACACACACACACACACACACACACACACACACACAC
Molecule: long non-coding RNA, 583 nt
Organism: Oncorhynchus tshawytscha (Chinook salmon)
Lineage: Eukaryota; Metazoa; Chordata; Actinopteri; Salmoniformes; Salmonidae
Source: Ensembl